AUACGGAGGGUGCAAGCGUUAAUCGGAAUUACUGGGCGUAAAGCGUGCGUAGGCGGCUCGUUAAGUCAGAUGUGAAAGCCCCGGGCUCAACCUGGGAACUGCAUUUGAAACUGGCGAGCUAGAGUAUGGUAGAGGGGGGUAGAAUUUCUGGUGUAGCGGUGAAAUGCGUAGAUAUCAGAAGGAAUACCAGUGGCGAAGGCGGCCCCCUGGCCCAAUACUGACGCUGAGGUACGAAAGCGUGGGUAGCGAACGGGAUUAGAAACCCCGGUAGUCC
This 274-nucleotide ribosomal RNA is filed under the name uncultured bacterium. RNAcentral describes it as "partial 16S ribosomal RNA". It matches the Rfam family "Bacterial small subunit ribosomal RNA", at positions 523 to 796 of the family's 1533-position model. The record is from RNAcentral.